Mytilus trossulus (common blue mussel) is the source of this 707-nucleotide long non-coding RNA. RefSeq lists it as uncharacterized. The record is from RefSeq and is a predicted model, not a curated record. The transcript has 3 exons. Lineage: Eukaryota; Metazoa; Mollusca; Bivalvia; Mytilida; Mytilidae.
CAAUGCACCUUACGUCAGGAUAAAAAUAAUGAGUUCUUUUCAUGCUUUUCAAUGUAGAAUGGCAAAACAUUUGAUAACGAAGAGUUUACUAAGACGAAUUGAUCACAUCACUGUUAAUUAUUUGUUUAAAAGUACCAUGAAAGAUGUUUAAAAAGAAAAGGCAGAGAUAUUUUUGAGGAUAAACCCAAAAGUUAUGUGACUGCACUUCUAACAAACCACCUUCUUAGUAGGUUAGUUCUAGGAAAAGAACACACUACUAGUCGAGAUUUGCCUGACAAGCCUUUGUUUUGUCCAUGCUUCAAUGCUGUCAAAUGUCAGAAACCAAUAGAAUAUGGACAUACCGGUUUAGGAUAUGAAAAAAUUUGCUACGGAAGACCUGAUGUUCUUUUAUCAGCUGAUAAUGAAUUACAGCAAAACUGUGUGAUGGUACUAGAAGAUGGAAAACAAAUUAUCAAAGCAGAGAUUUUGAAAAAGAACAAUGCUCAGAAAUCGAUGAAAAGACUGAAGAGGAGGAAGUUGCCAUGACAAGUCAGGCUAUAGCUCAGUGUAUUACAUUUGCAUAUUCCCGUUCAAAUAUGAAGAAACGUUAUCCAAAUAUAGCCUUGACGAGUACAUUGAUACCUACUUUAGUGUUGACACCAAAUGAUUAUUUUGUUUACAUGUAUGACUAUGAACACGAUGUUCUUUUAAAAAGUGGUCCAUCUAAU